This 528-nucleotide ribosomal RNA is filed under the name uncultured bacterium. Its description in RNAcentral is "partial 16S ribosomal RNA". It matches the Rfam family "Bacterial small subunit ribosomal RNA", at positions 355 to 874 of the family's 1533-position model. The record is from RNAcentral.
UGGGGAAUUUUGGACAAUGGGCGAAAGCCUGAUCCAGCAAUGCCGCGUGUGUGAAGAAGGCCUUCGGGUUGUAAAGCACUUUUGUCCGGAAAGAAAUCCUUGGCUCUAAUACAGUCGGGGGAUGACGGUACCGGAAGAAUAAGCACCGGCUAACUACGUGCCAGCAGCCGCGGUAAUACGUAGGGUGCAAGCGUUAAUCGGAAUUACUGGGCGUAAAGCGUGCGCAGGCGGUUUGCUAAGACCGAUGUGAAAUCCCCGGGCUCAACCUGGGAACUGCAUUGGUGACUGGCAGGCUAGAGUAUGGCAGAGGGGGGUAGAAUUCCAUGUGUGAGCAGUGAAAUGCGUAGGAGAUGUGGAGGAAUACCGAUGGCGAAGGCAGCCCCCUGGGCCAAUACUGACGCUCAUGCACGAAAGCGUGGGGAGCAAACAGGAUUAGAUACCCUGGUAGUCCACGCCCUAAACGAUGUCAACUAGUUGUUGGGGAUUCAUUUCCUUAGUAACGUAGCUAACGCGUGAAGUUGACCGCCU